AGCAGAGUGGCGCAGUGGAAGCGUACUGAUUCAAUAACCCAGAAGUCCGUGGAUCGAAACCACGCUGUGCUA
This is a non-coding RNA of Caerostris darwini, 72 nucleotides long. Lineage: Eukaryota; Metazoa; Arthropoda; Arachnida; Araneae; Araneidae. The record is from the annotation of a GenBank genome assembly.